AAAAAAACAUUACGUCCUCUAACCAAGUCGCAGCAGAUGGCGGAGUGGCAGAUUUCAAGACCAGCAAGAUUCUCCUACGGGCCAAAAGCGAUGUCACUUAUAAAAACCAGGAAGUCUGAAGAUCUCAGAACAGAUCCCUGAGGCACACCACUGAUCUCCGAGCUGCAUGCAGAAUAUGAACCGCCUACAGCUACGAUGGACAACCACUUCUAUGGGCAAGCCAGUUCUGGAUCCACAAACUCCAGUUCCGUAAAGCGGUUUGUUGGGAGCAACAGCUGGAAGCACUUCCCGCAGGGACUCCGGAUAUCUCCCUAAUUUUCCACAUCCUGCCAGGCACUCUCUCUACUGCAAGCGGAAAAACAAACAAACAAAAAUAAACAACAACUACCGGAACACGUUCUCAACUCUGACUGU
Hypanus sabinus (Atlantic stingray) is the source of this 414-nucleotide long non-coding RNA. RefSeq lists it as uncharacterized. The record is from RefSeq and is a predicted model, not a curated record. The transcript is spliced from 3 exons. Lineage: Eukaryota; Metazoa; Chordata; Chondrichthyes; Myliobatiformes; Dasyatidae.